AGAGUUUGAUCCUGGCUCAGAAUCAACGCUGGCGGCGCGCCUAACACAUGCAAGUCGAACGAGAAAGUGGAGCAAUCCAUGAGUAAAGUGGCGUACGGGUGAGUAACACGUGGAUAACCUGCCCUUUAGUGGGGAAUACCGUUGGGAAACCGACGACAAUACCGCAUAAGCUCGAGAGAGGAAAGCAGCAAUGCGCUGAAGGAGGGGUCCGCGGCCGAUUAGCUAGUUGGUAGGGUAACGGCCUACCAAGGCUGUGAUCGGUAGCCGGCCUGAGAGGGCACACGGCCACACUGGCACUGAAACACGGGCCAGACUCCUACGGGAGGCAGCAGUGGGGAAUCUUGCACAAUGGGGGAAACCCUGAUGCAGCGACGCCGCGUGAGCGAUGAAGCCCUUCGGGGUGUAAAGCUCUUUCGGCAGG
This 421-nucleotide ribosomal RNA is filed under the name uncultured bacterium. RNAcentral describes it as "bacterial SSU rRNA". It matches the Rfam family "Bacterial small subunit ribosomal RNA", at positions 8 to 443 of the family's 1533-position model. The record is from RNAcentral.